CUGUAAGCAAGCUUUGAUCCGGGGGUGUCCGAAUGGGGAAACCCAGCUGGGGUAAUUUCCAGUUACUCAUAACUGAAUACAUAGGUUAUGUAGAGGAAUACCAGGGGAACUGAAACAUCUAAGUACCUUGAGGAAGAGAAAACACUAGUGAUUCCGUCAGUAGCGGCGAGCGAACGCGGAGAAGCCCAAACCAGAGAGCUUGCUCUUUGGGGUUG
Molecule: ribosomal RNA, 215 nt
Filed under: Paenibacillus taichungensis
Lineage: Bacteria; Bacillati; Bacillota; Bacilli; Caryophanales; Paenibacillaceae
Description: partial 23S ribosomal RNA
Rfam family: Bacterial large subunit ribosomal RNA
Source: RNAcentral